RNAcentral lists this ribosomal RNA (440 nucleotides) under uncultured bacterium. Its description in RNAcentral is "partial 16S ribosomal RNA". It matches the Rfam family "Bacterial small subunit ribosomal RNA", at positions 338 to 795 of the family's 1533-position model. The record is from RNAcentral.
CCUACGGGUGGCAGCAGUGGGGAAUAUUACACAAUGGGGGAAACUCUGAUGCAGCAACGCCGCGUGAGUGAAGAAGUAUUUAGGUAUGUAAAGCUUUAUCAGCAGGGAAGAAGAUGACGGUACCUGAGUAAGAAGCUCCGGCUAACUACGAGCCAGCAGCCGCGGUAAUACGUAGGGUGCAAGCGUUAUCCGGAUUUACUGGGGGUAAAGGGAGCGCAGGCGGCACGGCAAGCCUGAUGUGAAAGCCCGCGGCCCAACCGCGGGACUGCAUUGGGAACUACCGGGCUGGAGUGCCGGAGAGGUAGGCGGAAUUCCUAGUGUAGCGGUGAAAUGCGUAGAUAUUAGGAGGAACACCAGUGGCGAAGGCGGCCUACUGGACGGUGACUGACGCUGAGGCUCGAAAGCGUGGGGAGCAAACAGGAUUAGAUACCCCGGUAGUC